AGUCCAUGAUGUGGUCACUUUUUCAGCAUAUCCUUGUACCUUUCCCAUGCCUCAUAUAGUGAGUCAUGGUCCCAUUGAGUAAAAUGAAUGAUCUCUGCCAUAAGGUG
Cynara cardunculus var. scolymus (artichoke) is the source of this 107-nucleotide small nucleolar RNA. The record is from RefSeq and is a predicted model, not a curated record. NCBI's taxonomy places the organism in Eukaryota, Viridiplantae, Streptophyta, Magnoliopsida, Asterales, Asteraceae.